GAUGAACGCUGGCGGCGUGCCUAAUACAUGCAAGUCGAGCGAACAGACGAGGAGCUUGCUCCUCUGACGUUAGCGGCUGACGGGUGAGUAACACGUGGAUAACCUACCUAUAAGACUGGGAUAACUUCGGGAAACCGGAGCUAAUACCGGAUAAUAUAUUUAACCGCAUGGUUCAAUAGUGAAAGACGGUUUUGCUGUCACUUAUAGAUGGAUCCGCGCCGCAUUAGCUAGUUGGUAAGGUAACGGCUUACCAAGGCAACGAUGCGUAGCCGACCUGAGAGGGUGAUCGGCCACACUGGAACUGAGACACGGUCCAGACUCCUACGGGAGGCAGCAGUAGGGAAUCUUCCGCAAUGGGCGAAAGCCUGACGGAGCAACGCCGCGUGAGUGAUGAAGGUCUUCGGAUCGUAAAACUCUGUUAUUAGGGAAGAACAAAUGUGUAAGUAACUAUGCACGUCUUGACGGUACCUAAUCAGAAAGCCACGGCUAACUACGUG
RNAcentral lists this ribosomal RNA (497 nucleotides) under uncultured bacterium. RNAcentral describes it as "partial 16S ribosomal RNA". It matches the Rfam family "Bacterial small subunit ribosomal RNA", at positions 28 to 507 of the family's 1533-position model. The record is from RNAcentral.